Molecule: ribosomal RNA, 3006 nt
Filed under: Fusobacterium animalis
Lineage: Bacteria; Fusobacteriati; Fusobacteriota; Fusobacteriia; Fusobacteriales; Fusobacteriaceae
Description: bacterial LSU rRNA
Rfam family: Bacterial large subunit ribosomal RNA
Source: RNAcentral
AAAUAGAUUAAAAUAAUUAAGGGCACACAAAGGAUGCCUAGGUAGUAAGAGCCGAUGAAGGACGUGGUAAGCUGCGAUAAGCCUAGAUAAGUUGCAAUCGAACGUAAGAGUCUAGGAUUUCCGAAUGGAGCAAUCUAUUAAGAUGGAGUCUUAAUACGAAAGAGGGAACCACGUGAACUGAAACAUCUAAGUAACGUGAGGAAAAGAAAGUAAAAACGAUACCCAAAGUAGCGGCGAGCGAACUGGGUCAAGCCUAAACCUUAAAUAUGUCAAGGAUACAGCCGUUGUAUUUAAGGGGUUGAGGGACAAAGUAGUGAAGAACUGUAAGAUAUUCAAUAUAGUGUAUUGAUGAAUUAGAAUUGUAUGGAAAGAUAAACCGCAGAAGGUGAGAGUCCUGUAUAAGUAAAUCCUUACACAUAUAACUUUGCUCCCAAGUAACAUGGAACACGAGGAAUUCUGUGUGAAUCAGUGAGGACCAUAUCUCAUAAGGCUAAAUACUCUUACUAACCGAUAGCACAUAGUACCGUGAGGGAAAGGUGAAAAGAACCCAUGGAGGGGAGUGAAAUAGAACCUGAAAUUGUGUGCUUACAAGCGGUCAGAGCCCAUUUGGGUGAUGGCGUGCCUUUUGGAGAAUGAUCCUGCGAGUUACGUUAAACGGCGAGGUUAAGUAUAACGGAGCCGAAGGGAAACCAAGUCUUAAUAGGGCGAUAUAGUCGUUUGGCGUAGACGCGAAACCUGGUGAUCUAAACCUGUCCAGGAUGAAGCUGUGGUAAGACACAGUGGAGGUCCUAACCCACCGCCGUUGAAAAGUUGGGGGAUGAGGUAGGUUUAGGGGUGAAAAGCCAAUCGAACCAGGAGAUAGCUCGUUCUCUCCGAAAUGCAUCCAGGUGCAGCCUUGAGUGUUCAAUUAUGGGGGUAGAGCACUGAAUGAUCUAGAGGGCAUAUUGCUUACUGAAAUCAAUCAAACUCCAAAUACCAUAAUUUAUAGCUCAGGAGUGAGACCACGGGAGUUAACUUCCAUUGUCAAAAGGGAAACAACCCAGACCACCAGCUAAGGUCCCUAAUUAUAACUAAGUGGGAAAGGAGGUGGAGAUUCACAAACAACUAGGAGGUUGGCUUAGAAGCAGCCAUACCUUUAAAGAGUGCGUAAUAGCUCACUAGUCGAGAGUCUCUGCGCCGACAAUGUAACGGGGCUAAGUUAUAAACCGAAGCUGUGGAAUCCUUAUGGAUUGGUAGGAGAGCGUUCUGUAGGCUGUUGAAGAAGAAGGGUAACCAACUUUGGAGGUAUCAGAAGUGAGAAUGCAGGAAUAAGUAGCGAGAAAGGGGGCGAGAAUCCCCCUCGCCGGAAGACCAAGGUUUUCAGGGUAAAGCUUGUCUUCACUGAGUAAGCCGGGACCUAAGCCCAGGCUAUAAUGCGUAGGCGAAUGGAAAACAGAUUAAUAUUUCUGUGCCAGUCAUUUAUUGUGAUGGAGGGACGCAGAAGGGUAUGUGCGCGGACGAUCGGUUGUGUCCGUAGAAGUAUGUAGGGUAACUUAGUAGGUAAAUCCAUUAAGUUAUAUCUGAGGUAUGAUAUACAGUCGUAAGAUGAAUGUACAAAUCCCACGCUGCCAAGAAAAACUUCUAACGUUAAUAUAUGACUGCCCGUACUGUAAACCGACACAGGUGGUCAGGAUGAGAAAUCUAAGGCGGACAGGCUAACUCUCGUUAAGGAACUCUGCAAAAUAACCUCGUAACUUCGGGAGAAGAGGAGCCCUUGUGUGUGAGUAUACACGCGAUACAAAGCGCACGAGGGUCGCAGUGAAGAGGCUCAAGCAACUGUUUAACAAAAACACAGGUCUAUGCUAGCGAUACAAAGCGCACGAGGGUUGCAGUGAAGAGGCUCAAGCAACUGUUUAACAAAAACACAGGUCUAUGCUAAGCUGUAAGGCGAUGUAUAUGGGCUGACACCUGCCCAGUGCUGGAAGGUUAAGAGGAGGAGUGAGAGCUCCGAAUUGAAGCCCCAGUGAACGGCGGCCGUAACUAUAACGGUCCUAAGGUAGCGAAAUUCCUUGUCGGGUAAGUUCCGACCUGCACGAAUGGUGUAAUGAUUUGAGUGCUGUCUUGACGGGAGGCCUGGUGAAAUUGUAUUACCGGUGAAGAUACCGGUUACCUACAGUAGGACGGAAAGACCCCAUGGAGCUUUACUGUAGCUUGGUAUUGGGUUUUGGCAUUGCAUGUAUAGGAUAGUUGGGAGACUAUGAUGGUAUGGCGCUAGCUGUAUCGGAGUCAUCGGUGGAAUACCAACCAUUCAAUGCUGAAAUUCUAAUCUGUGGUUUGUCGCCACGGAGACAGUGCUAGGUGGGCAGUUUUACUGGGGCGGUCGCCUCCGAAAGAGUAACGGAGGCGUUCAAAGGUUCUCUCAGGUUGGAUGGAAAUCAACCAUAGAGUGCAAUGGCAUAAGAGAGCUUGACUGCAAGACUGACGGGUCGAGCAGAUGCGAAAGCAGGACAUAGUGAUCCGGCGAUUCCGAAUGGAAGGGUCGUCGCUCAACGGAUAAAAGCUACCCUGGGGAUAACAGGCUGAUCCUACCCGAGAGUCCAUAUCGACGGUAGGGUUUGGCACCUCGAUGUCGGCUCAUCGCAUCCUGGGGCUGGAGAAGGUCCCAAGGGUUGGGCUGUUCGCCCAUUAAAGCGGUACGUGAGCUGGGUUCAGAACGUCGUGAGACAGUUCGGUCCCUAUCCACUGUAGGCGUUAGAAUAUUGAGAAGACCUGUCCUUAGUACGAGAGGACCGGGAUGGACAAACCUCUGAUGUACCAGUUGUCACGCCAGUGGCACAGCUGGGUAGUCACGUUUGGAAUAGAUAAUCGCUGAAAGCAUCUAAGCGAGAAACUAACUUCAAGAUAAGUAUUCUUUAAGAUACCUUUGAGACUAGGAGGUUGAUAGGUUGGAGGUGUAAGUGCAGCAAUGUAUUUAGCUGACCAAUACUAAUUAUCAAAGUUUUAAUCUAAGAUCUACUAUAUAGUUUC